Molecule: ribosomal RNA, 254 nt
Filed under: uncultured bacterium
Lineage: Bacteria
Description: partial 16S ribosomal RNA
Rfam family: Bacterial small subunit ribosomal RNA
Source: RNAcentral
UACGGGGGGGGCAAGCGUUGUUCGGAAUUACUGGGCGUAAAGGGCGCGUAGGCGGCCUGCUAAGUCACACGUGAAAUCCCCCGGCUCAACCGGGGGACUGCGUGUGAUACUGGCGGGCUUGAAUUCGGGAGAGGGAUGUGGAAUUCCAGGUGUAGCGGUGAAAUGCGUAGAUAUCGGGAGGAACACCAGUGGCGAAGGCGACUACCUGGCCUGUUUCUUGACGCUGAGGCGCGAAAGCUAGGGGAGCAAACGGG